This 253-nucleotide ribosomal RNA is filed under the name uncultured bacterium. RNAcentral's name for it is "partial 16S ribosomal RNA". It matches the Rfam family "Bacterial small subunit ribosomal RNA", at positions 524 to 776 of the family's 1533-position model. The record is from RNAcentral.
UACGUAGGUGGCAAGCGUUGUCCGGAUUUACUGGGCGUAAAGAGCGCGCAGGCGGUCGGAUUAGUCGCGUGUGAAAGCCCCCGGCUCAACUGGGGAGGGUCACGCGAUACUGUUCGACUCGAAGGCAGGAGAGGGAAGUGGAAUUCCCAGUGUAGCGGUGAAAUGCGUAGAUAUUGGGAGGAACACCAGUGGCGAAGGCGGCUCACUGGACCGGAACUGACGCUGAGGCGCGAAAGCGUGGGGAGCAAACAGG